AGCACGUGUGGUGUAGUGGUCAGGGUGUCGGGCUAGGACCUGGGAGACCAGGGUUCAAAUCCCCACUCAGCUU
Molecule: non-coding RNA, 73 nt
Organism: Podarcis lilfordi (Lilford's wall lizard)
Lineage: Eukaryota; Metazoa; Chordata; Lepidosauria; Squamata; Lacertidae
Source: the annotation of a GenBank genome assembly